Molecule: long non-coding RNA, 4179 nt
Organism: Gasterosteus aculeatus aculeatus (three-spined stickleback)
Lineage: Eukaryota; Metazoa; Chordata; Actinopteri; Perciformes; Gasterosteidae
Source: Ensembl
UGAUGAGCGGGAGCAGGAGAUAAGAGAAGGGAGGGACGGGGAGGUAUGGAAGGAGAGAUGUGGGAGGAAUAUGAGGUGAGGAGACAGAGGGGAAGCCCUAUGGAGGGCACAAGGGGAGGUGGAAGAGGAAGUUGAACAUCGGACAGAACCUUGGGCUGACCAGAUCCUCCUCCCGCUCGUCACCUCCUGCCAGUAUUUAAACCCGGGUCCUGCAGUCCCCGGUAGUCUGUCUUCUACCCUGGUUCAGGUCCUUUCAGAUACGCCCUGUGUUGUUCCACGGAGAUCACCAGUCGACGAAUGAGGAUGUGACGGAGGUGCAGGUUACAGCCCGAGUGGAAGGAACGAGAGCGGCCUCCUCACCGCCGGGACGUACGUGGUAGAUCAUGGGCUUGUGUGAGAGUUUUUGUCGUGCGGUGACAGCCGGUUUCAAAUGAACUGGAGGGAAACCAGAGACGAGGUCAACAAAUGGGCUCAAUGGAUCAGGUUGAUUUGGUCAGUGUUUCCACUCACACCUCACCGUUCCUCGACAGACUGAGCUGAACAACCAAGAAUCCCUCACCAGCCACCUCGAGUCCCUUCAUCUACAGGUUUGUAGACAGGAGAAGAAAGCUGGCAACAAUUCGAUAUGUUGAUGAUGAUAAUAAAGAUAAUUAAAGCUGCAAGCAGAGAUGAACGGGCCUUCGCCUCCCCUUGCAUGUCGGGGGCGGCAGCGCUCAGCCAGACAUGACGUCAGAACAAGGAAAAGAAAAUAGAGGCAAUAUUCACUCACAAAACCUUCCUCUUCAUUUUAGAAUACGGUUGACUUUUUUAGUAGAGCAUGUCCAAGAACAUCUGUGUGCAAAAUUUCACGUCAAUCGGUGAAACUGGGCAAAAACUUUGCACUUAACUACUUUAAUAUGAUAAAGACCUCAAAAGUGCGAUUGAAGUGGUGAAAGAAAUAGAAUAAUUCUUCGAAAACACAAUAGGGCUUCGCCGGACCUUCAGUCGGCUCAGACCCUAAUGAAGAUAUCCUUCAUUUCAUAUAAGUGUAAAACACCUGAAUGACAUAAUUCGGAGGUUUAGCUCAGUGCAGCGGCGGCCUGUGGGCUCCAUAGCGUAGGCUUAUGUAACCUUUGUGCCAUUAUGCCGUGAUGCCCGGCUUACGGAAAGCACGUGUGCAGAAGUCGAUACCCAUAAGGCUGUGAUGAUUGCGAGGGAUCUUUGCAGGUAUGUGUUCACAAGGAUUAUGCAAAUGAGGUCCCGCUUAGCAGAUGAGGAUGCGGGAUCCUAGGGAGGAACGUGCUCUAUAUGGGACAAGAAGCUCAGGGCGGAAGCUGUAAACAAAGAGACAUCAAAGUAGGACACAAUGAGAAACACCCACAGGUCAUAUUUGCCUCCACUUACAGUUUCCUGUUUCUACCUAUUCCUCUUGCAUAACCCUCGUGUUUUGUUUUGAGAUACCGGGCCUGGAUGUACAUGGUGCAGGACAGUGUCCCACUAGAUUUGGGAUUGGUCUUUAGAGGGCUUUCCUCCCCUCCUGUGUACAUGCAGAUAUAAGCAGUAUAUGUGUGUACACAGGUGCACGUCAGGUUCAUGGGAGACUCCAGUCGCAUUAGCUUUGUUGGAUUAAGCUGCAAAGAUGUUUAUUUUCUAAAGCAAUGAAAGAGUGAAUUAAUGAAUUAUAGUACACAAUGAAAAGAAAAGAACAGAUCAGUGAACAGAUGAGAAAAUCUCAUGUUUAUAUACUGAAGAAAGAAUAUCACAUUUUAAAUGUGGUAUCUCUUUCUCACCCUAUCACACUCUUCUUGGCUUUUGGCAAAGAAAAACACACUUAAUAUUGAUUAUGCAAAGCAUGUCAAACACACAGAAUGCUUUUGAUGGUAGAAUUGAUGCUACUAACCUCACUGCGAAGCAUGUUCGUGGUCGUUCUAAAAGUAGAGAACUGGCCAAUUGCAAUCAAGCACAUUUGAGUGUGCAUUUUUUUUAAACGGUGCUUGAAGAUGCGCUCACACUCACACAUCCACAAAAAGGAACAGGGUCUCAUUAUAUCUUAGUUGUGCCCUGCGGCAGGGUGAGUAUUUACACAGUUAUUCAGAGGAGUGACUGUGUUCGACCGCGAGCAAAUUAGUUUGCACCCUGAGGGCUCAGUCGAUGGCAGCCUCAGGAGCUCUGUGUGUGCCUGUGAGUGUCUCUGUGCAGAUCAUUACAUUGUAACCGAAUCUGUGUCCGUGUUGACUGGAGGCGGAGGACAUCCCACAUGCCCCUAUGCAAAAUAAAUGGAGAACUUAUUAAAGGGCAAAGGUCGCCAAUGUGUCAGCAGCGUGUAUCAAGUUUACCUGCUUGUGUUCCUCCGCCUCCUCUGCGCUCUCUCUUCAGUCCAACAUCAACUUAUAUACACUUGCCUCUUUACAUUCCCCCUCUCCUCUCGCUCUCGCUGUGUACGUACUGUUGCAGCUGUUGCUCUUUUUAACUUCAGUAGGCCCGUUGGCUGCUGGUGAUAAAUUGGACACUGGGUGUAAAUAGAUGUUCUGUUUUCAUGGGAGGGUUUUCCCUGACUUGGAGACACCGCAGCUGAUUACAAUACUCACUUUCUACGAAACACAGCAGGUGUUAGCAAGGCCAGAGUUAAGACAAACAGUACACAGAUACAGCUGUCUGUGCUUACGGACUGGAAGACUUUGACAACAUGCUGAAUUGUGAGAAAUGCACAUGAAUGAUUGUUGCCUUUUCCACAUAUGCAGUAACCAAUAGGGUUAAGCAGAACCUGUUCCUUCUUUAUGCUCUCGCUGUGACACAGACUCAUGUGAAAGGUGUAGGGGCCGUCAUUGGGAAACAAAUCUAAAGUGCAAAUGAAGUUCAGUGUCAAGAAGAAAUAUUAUUAAAUAUUGUAACCGAUAUUCUCACCUCUCAUUUUCCUCAGCAGCACCUUACCGACUCUUUCGUUGGUGCCACCAACCGGCAGACAAAGGCCUAUGGACAGAGCAGUAGCUGUUCAAAUAUUUCUGUGGUUUAAUGGUCAGAAGCAUUAUACUAACAUUGGAUUGACGCUUCAAACAGAACAUAUAGAAAUACCUUUGUUAAGCCAGACAGUCAGCACACACCUUUUAUUGGUCCUUUAGAUGGAACAGGAAAGGCUGCAUCACGGUGAAAAGCAUGUUAUUAACAGCGUUUGUCGCGGUUUUAAUGCGAUGUUGGGCCAACGAAAAAAACUAUGUUUAAAAACAUGAAUUGAUCUUCAGAAACAGAAUGAAAUAGCAUGAUAUCCAGGGUUUAUUAAUCCAUUCGGAACACAUAAGCAGACUAAUCCACAACGUGUUUCUGUUUACAUACUUCCUGGAUCCUGAUUGGUGGAACGCUGCAGCACCAAGGCACUGAUUGGAGGGUCACAGACCGUAAUACAGCGCAGAUGAACAUGAUUCAGCUUAUAGAGUGCAUAUGUUUAAUGAUAUGAAUCUAAGUCUUAACCUCUAUGGAUGAGUAGUAAAGAAAAUGACUGGAUUAAGAAACUAGACAAUGACCGCAUGAGUUUUGUGCACUUUAAUUACCAAAUAUUCGUUAUUCGGUAACGGUCCACAGAAGAGGUCUGUGGAAAGGUUAUAACAUUUCUUAAUACGAUAUACCAGAACAAGGUAGAGGGUGUGACUAAAACAAUGAGUAGGUGUCUGUACAUCGAAAGAAGCCAAUCAAAUUUAAGAGUGAGGUAAAUGCAGUGCCAUGGCUAUUAUUUUUGAUAAUCCACAUGCAUAUUCAAAUCACCCACAAUCAUUUCUUUAUCUGCUUUCAGGACUAAACAUGACAAAAACUUCAGUUAGAAAUUCAAAACACAGAUAUGAAUGAAAAUAAUAUAAAUAAAUAACCGGGACAGCAGAUUUCUAUUUUCCAGUCUUCGUUCAUAGUAGAUGGCGUAGAAUGGCAGCUUUGUUUUUUGUUAGGUUUUGACAUAUCUUCCAGUAAAAAAUUAUAUACAAAGGAUUAUUAAAAGGGGUAAAUCAAGGCCUAUCAUGGGACGGUAUCUGUCAAACAUUACUGUGUUUUCCCCAUUUCUCUAGCUUUAUGUCACAAAAUUUAUAAUUGCAACAUUUCUUGAGUUUUAUGAUCAGAUACAUUUUCAAACAAUUGUCAUAAGAAGAGUUCCAUCUCAACAAGCACUGACUUUCUGAAGAGCCAGCCAAUCAGGGCUGAUCAGCUACUCCUGUGACA